UGAAACCGUUUAGGGGUAAACCUGAGAAACCCGAAAGGUCGAAGGGAGAAAUUCAUUCGCGUUUCGAGACAGGCACCGGACGGAAUCGAGCGACGGGAAACGCGCGUUUUCGCGCGCGUUUUUCGCGCCGUCCGUCCGACGAUCCGGUCGCGAACGCGUGCACUUUUCUCCUGGUAGGACGUCGCGAUCCGUCGAGUGUCGGUCUACGGUUUCGGGAGGAGCCCGUCGGCGGUUCGUCUUCGCGGACGUUCGCGACCGACGGACCUCGAAUACCCGGCCGACUCGCUCGACGGUAUAAUUACGAACGGUUCAGGGUCGCUCUCUACGUUGAGCGUUCGAUUCGCGGCAAGCGCGUCAGACGUGAAAGUCGGCGAUCGGACUUCGUGCCGGUUCCGACCUCUGACGACUGUUGGCCGCGAAAUUCUCGAACGGACCCGCCCACAAAACCGAUCGGCGACGCUAUAGCUUUGGGUAAUUUCAGGACCCGUCUUGAAACACGGACCAAGGAGUCUAGCAUGUGCGCGAGUCAUUGGGAAUCGUUAAACCUAAAGGCGCAAUGAAAGUAAAGGUUUUCCUCGCGAAGACCUAGGGAAGACGAGCGCGAUCGCCCUUAAAAGCGUCCGCUCCGCAUUCCCGGGGCGUCUCGUUCUCAUCGCGAGAAGAGGCGCACCAAGAGCGUACACGCUGGGACCCGAAAGAUGGUGAACUAUGCCUGGUCAGGACGAA
RNAcentral lists this ribosomal RNA (726 nucleotides) under Ernoporus tiliae. Its description in RNAcentral is "partial large subunit ribosomal RNA". It matches the Rfam family "Eukaryotic large subunit ribosomal RNA", at positions 400 to 850 of the family's 3401-position model. Lineage: Eukaryota; Metazoa; Arthropoda; Insecta; Coleoptera; Curculionidae. The record is from RNAcentral.